UGCUCCUGAAUUCAGCGGCGGACGGGUGAGUAAUGCCUAGGAAUCUGCCUGGUAGUGGGGGACAACGUUUCGAAAGGAACGCUAAUACCGCAUACGUCCUACGGGAGAAAGCAGGGGACCUUCGGGCCUUGCGCUAUCAGAUGAGCCUAGGUCGGAUUAGCUAGUUGGUGAGGUAAUGGCUCACCAAGGCGACGAUCCGUAACUGGUCUGAGAGGAUGAUCAGUCACACUGGAACUGAGACACGGUCCAGACUCCUACGGGAGGCAGCAGUGGGGAAUAUUGGACAAUGGGCGAAAGCCUGAUCCAGCCAUGCCGCGUGUGUGAAGAAGGUCUUCGGAUUGUAAAGCACUUUAAGUUGGGAGGAAGGGCAUUAACCUAAUACGUUAGUGUUUUGACGUUACCGACAGAAUAAGCACCGGCUAACUCUGUGCCAGCAGCCGCGGUAAUACAGAGGGUGCAAGCGUUAAUCGGAAUUACUGGGCGUAAAGCGCGCGUAGGUGGUUUGUUAAGUUGGAUGUGAAAUCCCCGGGCUCAACCUGGGAACUGCAUUCAAAACUGACAAGCUAGAGUAUGGUAGAGGGUGGUGGAAUUUCCUGUGUAG
This 601-nucleotide ribosomal RNA is filed under the name Pseudomonas sp. SA014. Its description in RNAcentral is "bacterial SSU rRNA". It matches the Rfam family "Bacterial small subunit ribosomal RNA", at positions 81 to 678 of the family's 1533-position model. Lineage: Bacteria; Pseudomonadati; Pseudomonadota; Gammaproteobacteria; Pseudomonadales; Pseudomonadaceae. The record is from RNAcentral.